UAUAACAGUAGAUUAUUAUUUCACAGUGUAUUUUCACCAGGUAAAGAAAGCUUUUUAUGGUUCACUGACUGAGGACAAUCAACCCCUUCACAAUCUAGAACCUGAAGAUUGGAUCUUCUGAGAACAUCAGAGAAAGACUGCCCUUGCCAUCCACACUGCAGUAAACAUCAGAACCAUGAACUUUGGCUUCAUGAUCUCACAACUGAGAAGGAUCCCUCCACAUUCUUGGAAAUAUACACCCAUUGGAACCCGUAAGGUGUCAAACUUUCUCAGUCAGAAGUUGACAUAAGGAAGUCACCAGCUUCGGUCUCCUUUAAAUCUCCAGGCCUAACUUUCUUUUGAAUCUCUGCUCUUCAACCACAAUGACUUAUGUACCCCAAGACCCCUCUACCUCCUGGCUGCCUAUGAUCCUCCUGCACCUAGCACUCAGCAAAGGGUCUGACAUUUAGAUAGCACUCAAUCAAUAUGAAGAAUUUAAAGUGUAGUGACAAGGUGGUGCCCACACUGGAUGGUCUGUAUGCUGUGGUCUCAUCGGGGACCUUUCUCUGCACUGCAUUUUUCCUGAGAAAUCCCCGAGUUCAAUAAAUACCUGUGUAUGUCAGAGCUA
This is a long non-coding RNA of Pan troglodytes (chimpanzee), 607 nucleotides long. RefSeq lists it as uncharacterized. The transcript is spliced from 2 exons. The record is from RefSeq and is a predicted model, not a curated record. Lineage: Eukaryota; Metazoa; Chordata; Mammalia; Primates; Hominidae.